Molecule: ribosomal RNA, 489 nt
Filed under: uncultured Alkalibacterium sp.
Lineage: Bacteria; Bacillati; Bacillota; Bacilli; Lactobacillales; Carnobacteriaceae
Description: bacterial SSU rRNA
Rfam family: Bacterial small subunit ribosomal RNA
Source: RNAcentral
AGGCUUUGAUCCUGGCUCAGGACGAACGCUGGCGGCAUGCCUAAUACAUGCAAGUCGAACGCCGACGCACUCUGCUUGCAGAGUGUUGAGGAGUGGCGAACGGGUGAGUAACACGUGGAGAACCUGCCCAUAAGAGGGGGAUAACAUCCGGAAACGGGUGCUAAUACCGCAUAGGUGGCUGGAGCGCAUGCUCUAGUCAUGAAAGACGGCUUCGGCUGUCGCUUAUGGAUGGCUCCGCGGCGUAUUAGCUAGUUGGUGAGGUAAUGGCUCACCAAGGCAGUGAUACGUAGCCGACCUGAGAGGGUGAUCGGCCACACUGGGACUGAGACACGGCCCAGACUCCUACGGGAGGCAGCAGUAGGGAAUCUUCCACAAUGGGCGAAAGCCUGAUGGAGCAAUGCCGCGUGAGUGAAGAAGGUUUUCGGAUCGUAAAGCUCUGUUGUUAGAGAAGAACAAGAGGUGUAGUAACUGGCACCUCCUUGACGGUAU